RNAcentral lists this long non-coding RNA (212 nucleotides) under Vigna radiata. RNAcentral's name for it is "long non-coding RNA (VRAD_LNC016283)". Lineage: Eukaryota; Viridiplantae; Streptophyta; Magnoliopsida; Fabales; Fabaceae. The record is from RNAcentral.
CCAAAUUCAAUCAAUCAAAAAGUUAAGCACUCAAUGCAAACAACAUACAACAACAAUUAAUCAAUAUAUGUAUGAUGCAGCCGAUAGAUACAUAUUUACCAAUUGUAGACACUCAAGGUUUUUGAAAUAUUCCAUAAUUGAUUUAUCCUUGAGAAUAGUUCUGUAUCAGCUGCAUGACCUACAAAACAGUUAAGCUUUGGUUGCUAGUACCC